CCUACGGGAGGCAGCAGUGGGGAAUCUUCGGCAAUGGGCGCAAGCCUGACCGAGCGACGCCGCGUGGGGGAUGAAGGCCUUCGGGUUGUAAACCCCUUUUCAGGGGGACGAAUAAGUCCGGGAGGAAAUGCCCGGAUGAUGACGGUACCCCUGGAAGAAGCCACGGCUAACUCUGUGCCAGCAGCCGCGGUAAGACAGAGGCGGCGAGCGUUACCCGGAUUCACUGGGCGUAAAGGGUGCGUAGGCGGUCGCGUGUGUCGUCGGUGAAAGCUCCCGGCUCAACGGGGAGGGUGCCGACGAAACUACGCGGCUGGAGGGCCGGAGAGGGAGGCGGAACUUCCGGAGUAGCGGUGAAAUGCGUAGAUACCGGAAGGUACCUCAAUAGCGAAGACAGCCUCCUGGCCGGUUCCUGACGCUGAGGCACGAAAGCGUGGGGAGCAAACCGGAUUAGAUCCCCCGGUAGU
RNAcentral lists this ribosomal RNA (464 nucleotides) under uncultured bacterium. RNAcentral's name for it is "partial 16S ribosomal RNA". It matches the Rfam family "Bacterial small subunit ribosomal RNA", at positions 338 to 794 of the family's 1533-position model. The record is from RNAcentral.